RNAcentral lists this ribosomal RNA (494 nucleotides) under Plesiomonas sp. RNAcentral's name for it is "bacterial SSU rRNA". It matches the Rfam family "Bacterial small subunit ribosomal RNA", at positions 8 to 491 of the family's 1533-position model. The record is from RNAcentral. Lineage: Bacteria; Pseudomonadati; Pseudomonadota; Gammaproteobacteria; Enterobacterales; Enterobacteriaceae.
AGAGUUUGAUCAUGGCUCAGAUUGAACGCUGGCGGCAGGCCUAACACAUGCAAGUCGAGCGGUAACACAGAGGAGCUUGCUCCUUGGGUGACGAGCGGCGGACGGGUGAGUAAUGCCUGGGGAUCUGCCCGAUAGAGGGGGAUAACUACGGGAAACUGUAGCUAAUACCGCAUAACGUCUACGGACCAAAGUGGGGGCUCUUCGGACCUCAUGCUAUCGGAUGAACCCAGGUGGGAUUAGCUAGUUGGUGAGGUAAUGGCUCACCAAGGCGACGAUCUCUAACUGGUUUGAGAGAAUGACCAGUCACACUGGAACUGAGACACGGUCCAGACUCCUACGGGAGGCAGCAGUGGGGAAUAUUGCACAAUGGGCGCAAGCCUGAUGCAGCCAUGCCGCGUGUGUGAAGAAGGCCUUCGGGUUGUAAAGCACUUUCAGCGGGGAGGAAGGGUCACUAGUUAAUACCUAGUGGCAUUGACGUUACUCGCAGAAGAAGC